This 468-nucleotide ribosomal RNA is filed under the name uncultured bacterium. RNAcentral describes it as "partial 16S ribosomal RNA". It matches the Rfam family "Bacterial small subunit ribosomal RNA", at positions 28 to 507 of the family's 1533-position model. The record is from RNAcentral.
GACGAACGCUGGCGGCGUGCUUAACACAUGCGAGUCGAACGGAAAGGCCCUGCUUUUGGGGGGUGCUCGAGUGGCGAACGGGUGAGUAACAAGUGAGUAACCUGCCCUUGACUUUGGGAUAACUUCAGGAAACUGGGGCAGAUACCGGAUAGGAACUCCUGCUGAAUGGUGGGGGUUGGAAAGGUUCGGCGGGUGGGGAUGGACUCGCGGCUUAUCAGCGUGUUGGUGGGGUAGUGGCUUACCAAGGCGUUGACGGGUCGCCGGCCUGAGAGGGUGACCGGCCACAUUGGGACUGAGAUACGGCCCAGACUCCUACGGGAGGCAGCAGUGGGGAAUAUUGCACAAUGGGCGGAAGCCUGAUGCAGCAACGCCGCGUGCGGGAUGACGGCCUUCGGGUUGUAAACCGCUUUCGCCUGUGACGAAGCGUGAGUGACGGUAAUGGGUAAAGAAGCACCGGCUAACUCCGUG